ACGCGAAGAACCUUACCCAGGCUUGAACAGCGAGUGACCACUUCCGAAAGGGAGCUUCCGCAAGGACACUCGUAGAGGUGCUGCAUGGCUGUCGUCAGCUCGUGUCGUGAGAUGUUGGGUUAAGUCCCGCAACGAGCGCAACCCUUGUCUUCUGUUGCCAUCAGGUUAUGCUGGGCACUCUGGAGAGACUGCCGGUGAUAAACCGGAGGAAGGUGGGGAUGACGUCAAGUCAGCAUGGCCUUUAUGUCUGGGGCUACACACGUGCUACAAUGGCCGGCACAAACCGUCGCGAGCCCGCGAGGGGGAGCUAAUCGGAGAAAGUCGGUCUCAGUUCGGAUCGUAGGCUGCAACUCGCCUGCGUGAAGUUGGAAUCGCUAGUAAUCGCGGAUCAGCACGCCGCGGUGAAUACGUUCCCGGGCCUUGUA
RNAcentral lists this ribosomal RNA (425 nucleotides) under uncultured Acidobacterium sp. RNAcentral describes it as "bacterial SSU rRNA". It matches the Rfam family "Bacterial small subunit ribosomal RNA", at positions 959 to 1385 of the family's 1533-position model. Lineage: Bacteria; Pseudomonadati; Acidobacteriota; Terriglobia; Terriglobales; Acidobacteriaceae. The record is from RNAcentral.